CCCGUCCCUCCCCUCCUCCCUCUAUCUAUCUCGCGCGCCCCAGCAGCGACAGCGAAUUCUCUUUCUCCUCCUCCUCCUCCUCCUCCUCCUAUCCUCUUCCACCCUCGCCUAGGAACAAAAUCCCAUCCUCCUCCGCCCCGCUCCGCUCCGCUCCCAAAACCCUAGCAAUGUCGGGAGGGUUCUUCCGAGGCACCUCGGCGGAUCAGGACACGCGGUUCUCGAACAAGCAGGCGAAGCUCCUCAAGACGCAGAAGUUCGCCGCGGAGCUGGAGUACCUGGUGGACAUGACGAAAGUGAAGAUGGAUGUCAUGAAACCUUGGAUUGCCACGCGGGUGACCGAGCUUCUAGGGUUUGAAGAUGAAGUUCUCAUCAACUUCAUAUACGGUCUUCUGGAUGGGAAGGAGAUUAAUGGAAAGGAAGUUCAGAUACAACUCACAGGAUUUAUGGAGAAAAAUACUGGCAAGUUUAUGAAAGAACUCUGGACUCUUCUUCUCAGUGCGCAGAAAAAUGCAAGCGGCGUACCUCAGCAGUUCUUAGAUGCCAAAGAGGAAGAAACUCGGAAGAAGAAGGUUGAAGCCGACCGUGUUGCUGACGAAAUUCGGAAGAAAAGAGACGAGGAAAGUAGAGAAUUCGAACAGGAGAAAUCGAAGAGGAUGGAUGGUGUGGUAGAGACGAAGGCUUCAAAUGAUGCCCUAGAGAAGGACUUCAUAUCUUCAAGGGCCUCAAAUGCACGUCGGGAUGAUAAAAAUGAUAAUGGAAGGAGGAGUGCUUCGAGAAGAAGCCAUGAAGUUUCUAGAUCUCCUCGAUCAGCGGACCAUUCCUCCUCACCCCCUCGAGCUUCACCUUCUAGGUCAAUCAGCAAGUCAUUUUCUAAAUCCAGGAGUCAUUCAGAUGAAAGAAGCAGGUCCAGGAGUAUCUCCGCAUCACGAGAAAGACGAAGCCGUUCAAUUUCUUCUGGUAAGGGGCAUCGUUCUCCUCAAAGAAGGUCUGUGACACCUCGUCGGAGGUAUUCUCCUAGGAGAUCCCGAUCUCCAAGACGAGGAGCACCUUAUUACAGGCGAAGAUCUAUAUCUCCUCCGCAUCGCAGAUCACCAUCUCCUGUAAGGCGUAGGUUGCAUUCGCCUGCUCGACAUAGAUCACGCUCUCCAAUUAAGCGUAGAUCACUGACCCCUGUACGCCGUCGAAGAUCUCCGUCUCCUGUCCGGCGUCGUAGAUCUCCAUCUCCUGUUCGGCGUGGCUCCCCUUUUGAGAGACGACGAUCACCGCCUCCGGUGCGACGUAGAUCUUCCCUUGUCCGACGCAGAUCACCCUCUCCAGUACGAAGGAGGUCACCCUCUCCUGCGAGGAGGAGGCCACCCUCUCCUGCACGGAGGAGGUCACCCUCUCCUGUUCGAAGGAGGUCGCCAUUUCCAAAACGACACAGAUUUCCAUCUCCCAGGCAUCGUAUAUCACCUUCACCCGUGUCUCGCAGGUCAUCAUCACCUGUCCGUCAUUUAUCAACUUCACCUAUGCAGCCCAAAUCAUCAUCUCCUGUACGCCAUGGGACCCCAUCCCCUGUACAAGAGCAGCUACGGAGAUCUCAAUCAAUUUCAGGGCAAAGGUCUUCAUCUCCAUGGCGACGAAGAUCGCCCUUAUCUGUCCGCAGGAAAUCAACAACCCCUCUACCCCGGAGGACAUCUCAUGAGUCAAACUCUGCAUCUCCGAUUGGUCGUAGAUCUUCACCCUUGCGGAAGAGAUCUCCUCCAUAUGGAAGAUCACCUGCUGGAUCUUCUAGGGAAAGAAUGAGGUCACCGAGCCCAUAUGAGAGUCCUGUAAAGCAAGCUAGGAAUGUCCGGAGACGAAGCAGGUCAUCUAGCCCACACAGGAGUCCAUUAAAGCAAGUUAAUAAUCUGGUGAAUAAUGACGACGGUUCUACUUCACUGCAAUUGAGAGAACGUAGGUCGCAUCAAGAAAGCCCAGAUAAAAGUGAUGAGAGGGGAAUCAAUAACAACACUCGGGAAAGUAGGGAUCGUGCUCUCAAGCCUAGAGAUAAAAGAUCUAUGAACUCAUCUUCUUUCAGUAAACAGGGAGACUCGCCAAUGAAGGUGCAUGAUAAGGACAUUUCUCCUCCUGAGAGAGCAGGUGGAGAUCGUUCUAUUGGCUCUAAGGGCCGUUCUGAUGGCUUGGAUGUUCGAAACAAAAACCAGGAGAGAAUGAGGGAAAAGCCCUCUGGAAAGGGAGUGUUGUCACCCUCACUGAACAAAGAAUCUGGUGAGAAGCUACAGACAUCUCACUCCGUUGAAGGUAGAAAAUCUGAUGAUAAGAAUCGUUCUCGAGAUGGUAUUCGACGGCAUAGAUCUGAAGUCACACAAAGAUCUGUGGAGAAGGUUGAUCAUAGUAAACACAGCAGCUUGUCUGAAACGGGUUCUGAGGAAAGUGAUAAGCACAUUAAUGAACGCAAGGAGAAGAAAAGGCACAAAAGAUUAGAUAAGCGAGGAAAAGAUUCAGAUGAUAAUAGCUCUGAUUCUGAGAUAGAGGAUCGGAAGGAGACCAAAAGGAGGCGGAAAGAAGAGAAGAAAAUGAGGAAGGAGGAGAGACGUCGACGUCGAGAGGAGAGACGCCGCAGACGGGAAGAACGGCGUGCAGAAAAGAUGAGAACAAAGAAAGAGGAUAUUGUCUCACCUGAUUAUGGAAAGCAUUCCAGAGAUGCAUCCUCCUUGGACGAUGAAGAUGUGGACAGAAAGGAGUAUCGUUCGUAUGAUGAAGAAGCGGAAACUAAGCAAAAGAAACUGGAGAUUGAGCUACGAAUGAAGGCUCUCGAGUCGUUUAAGGCAAAGAAGGGCAUAGUUAAUCGAUAAAUGAGGUUCCUCAGCUAUUCUGUUGAUGCGACUUUAAUCAGGCAUUGCUGCUAGAUUUUCUGAUGAAAAAAAAAUCAACUUUGAUGACUUGGUUGAGCAGAACAUUGCGCAGAUCAUCAUUCUAAACAUCAACUCAGGUUUUAUCUUUGACGAUGGGAUGUUCACAAAUCCAGAUUUGUCUUUGCGUUACCGUAGUCUUGGCGAUUUCUUAUAGAAAAAGGGGGGUUUCUUUUUUCCGCUCUUUUUGUACUUAUUGAGCUUUCUGCAUAUAUUACCCUAGAUGGCAAACACAUGACUAUCGUAAUGCUUUGAGCCCCAUCGCAGAUGCGAAUUGCUACUUGGUCUCGAGUGUAACUGUACCUGGCCUUGUUGCUUUAGAUGGUAUUGGUGCAGUCAAGGGGCUAUUGUGAGUGUCGGAUUGUGGUUCCCCUUCUGUUUCUUCCCAUAUAUACUGAUCAAAAUUGGCUAAAAGCAUUUAUACGUGGCCAAAAGUUUCGU
RNA transcript from Syzygium oleosum, 3335 nucleotides. RefSeq lists it as uncharacterized. The transcript is spliced from 16 exons. The record is from RefSeq and is a predicted model, not a curated record. Lineage: Eukaryota; Viridiplantae; Streptophyta; Magnoliopsida; Myrtales; Myrtaceae.